CCGACGGUGAGGGGUGAAAGCUGGGGGAGCAAACCGGAUUAGAUACCCGGGUAGUCCCAGCUGUAAACGAUGCAAACUCGAUGAUGCGUUGGCUUAUUGCUAGCGCAGUGUCGCAGGGAAGCCGUUAAGUUUGCCGCCUGGGAAGUACGUACGCAAGUAUGAAACUUAAAGGAAUUGGCGGGGGAGCACCACAAGGGGUGAAGCCUGCGGUUCAAUUGGAGUCAACGCCUGAAACCUUACCCGGAGAGACAGCAGAAUGAAGGUCAAGCUGAAGACUUUACCAGACAAGCUGAGAGGUGGUGCAUGGCCGUCGCCAGCUCGUGCCGUGAGAUGUCCUGUUAAGUCAGGUAACGAGCGAGAUCCCUGCCUCUAGUUGCCACCAUUACUCUCAGGAGUAGUGGGGCGAAUUAGCGGGACCGCCGCAGUUAAUGCGGAGGAAGGAAGGGGCCACGGCAGGUCAGUAUGCCCCGAAACUCUGGGGCCACACGCGGGCUGCAAUGGUAACGACAAUUGGUUUCGAAUCCGAAAGGAUGAGGUAAUCUCUAAACGCUACCACAGUUGUGAUUGAGGGCUGCAACUCGCCCUCAUGAACAUGGAAUCCCUAGUAACCGCGUGUCAUUAUCGCGCAGUGAAUACGUCCCUGCUCCUUGCACACACCGCCCGU
This 664-nucleotide ribosomal RNA is filed under the name uncultured archaeon. Its description in RNAcentral is "bacterial SSU rRNA". It matches the Rfam family "Archaeal small subunit ribosomal RNA", at positions 691 to 1353 of the family's 1478-position model. The record is from RNAcentral.